Molecule: ribosomal RNA, 429 nt
Filed under: Chloroflexota bacterium
Lineage: Bacteria; Bacillati; Chloroflexota
Description: Chloroflexi bacterium partial 16S ribosomal RNA
Rfam family: Bacterial small subunit ribosomal RNA
Source: RNAcentral
UGGGGAAUAUUGCACAAUGGGCGCAAGCCUGAUGCAGCCAUGCCGCGUGUGUGAAGAAGGCCUUCGGGUUGUAAAGCACUUACAGCGGGGAGGAAGGCGAUAAGGUUAAUAACCUUGUCGAUUGACGUUACCCGCAGAAGAAGCACCGGCUAACUCCGUGCCAGCAGCCGCGGUAAUACGGAGGGUGCAAGCGUUAAUCGGAAUUACUGGGCGUAAAGCGCACGCAGGCGGUCUGUCAAGUCGGAUGUGAAAUCCCCGGGCUCAACCUGGGAACUGCAUUCGAAACUGGCAGGCUAGAGUCUUGUAGAGGGGGGUAGAAUUCCAGGUGUAGCGGUGAAAUGCGUAGAGAUCUGGAGGAAUACCGGUGGCGAAGGCGGCCCCCUGGACAAAGACUGACGCUCAGGUGCGAAAGCGUGGGGAGCAAACAGG